AUGAAAAAAAGAAGAUCCAGGGAACUACAAGUCAGUCUCACCCCUGUGCCUGGCAAGAUCAUGGAGCAGAUUGUCCUGAAGGCCCUACUGGGGCACACGGAAAAUAAAGAUGAAGUGAUUCGUGGUAACCAACAUGGUUUCACCAAGGGUAAGUCAUGCCUGACAAACCUGGUGGCCUUUUAUGAUGGAGUCACAGUGUCAGUGGAUAAAGGAAGAGUAACUGACAUCAUCUACCUGGACUGGUGCAAAGUGUUUGACGCUGUCCUUCCUGACAUCGUGAUUGUCAAGUUAGAAAAAAAUGGAUUUGAUGGAUGGACCACUCGCUGGGUAAGGAAUUGGCUGGAUGGUCACACUCAGAGAGUUGCAGUCAGCAGCUCAAUGGCCAAGGGGAGACCAGUGACAAGUGGUGGGAUCAGUGUUGGGCUAGUGUUAUUUAACAUCUUUGUAAGUGACAUUUACAGAAGGAUCGAGUGCACCCUCAGCAAAUUUUCAGACAACACCAAGCUGAGUGGUGCAGUUGACAUGCUAGAGGGAAGGGAUGCUAUCCAGAGGGACCAGGACAGGCUUGAGAGGUGGGCCCAUGCCAACCUCUUGAAGUUCAACAAGGCCAAGUGCAAGGCCCUACACCUGGGUCAGGGCAAUCCCCAACAAAGAUACAGGUUGUGCAGAGAAUGGCUUGAGAGCAGCUCUGAGAAGGAUUUGAGAGCAUCCAUUGAUGAAAGAUUCAACGCGAGAUGGCAAUGCACGCUUGCAGCCCAGAAGGCCAACUGUAUCCUCAGCUGCAUCAAGAGAAGUGUGACCAGCAGGUCGAGGGAAGUGAUUCUGCCCCUCUACUGUGUUUUCGUGAGGCCUCACCUGCCAUACUGCAUCCAGUUCUGGAGUCCUCAACACAAGAAGGACAUGGAGACUGUUGGAGCAGGUCCAGAGGAGGGCCAUGAAGAUGAUCAGAGGGCUGGAGACCUCCACUACAAGGGCAGGCUGAGAGAGCUGGGGCUCUUCAGCCUGGAGAAGAGAAGGCUUUGA
This 1023-nucleotide long non-coding RNA is filed under the name Numida meleagris (helmeted guineafowl). RNAcentral describes it as "lncRNA (ENSNMEG00000018186.1)". The record is from RNAcentral. Lineage: Eukaryota; Metazoa; Chordata; Aves; Galliformes; Numididae.